RNAcentral lists this ribosomal RNA (253 nucleotides) under uncultured bacterium. RNAcentral describes it as "partial 16S ribosomal RNA". It matches the Rfam family "Bacterial small subunit ribosomal RNA", at positions 524 to 776 of the family's 1533-position model. The record is from RNAcentral.
UACGAAGGUGGCAAGCGUUGUUCGGAUUUACUGGGCGUACAGGGAGCGUAGGCGGUUGGGUAAGCCCUCCGUGAAAUCUCCGGGCCUAACCCGGAAAGUGCGGAGGGGACUGCUCGGCUAGAGGAUGGGAGAGGAGCGCGGAAUUCCCGGUGUAGCGGUGAAAUGCGUAGAUAUCUGGAGGAACACCGGUGGCGAAGGCGGCAUCCUGGACCGGCAUUGACGCUGAGGAGCGAAAGCCAGGGGAGCAAACGGG